GGGCUAGAACACAAGUGAAAGGUUUGGUGUUAGAGAGUGAAUGAAGGUGUCAGAGGCAGGGAGUAUUAGCUUACUUGGCAAAAAGUUGAAGUAUCUCCCACCUAACGGCUUUGGUUUUGUUUCGGAAAUCAAAAGCAAAAUCAUCUGCAGAGAAUCGGGAUCAGAGAAUGUGUAGGGGGAGAGCAUGUAGGGGCUGACUAGAGAGAAAGUGGGAUUGCCAGUGCUCAGCAACUUAGAUUCACACAUAAAAGAGUUGGAUGGUUGAACUUAACAGGGCUUGAGUUUUGCUAAGCAUGUGGAACAAGAAGAUGAAUAUCAGCGAGAAUCUGAUUGAAAUGAAGGAAUCUAAACUAGAUAGGAUGUGGCUGACAUACAGAGAAAUU
This 383-nucleotide long non-coding RNA is filed under the name Homo sapiens (human). RNAcentral's name for it is "HSALNT0029188". Lineage: Eukaryota; Metazoa; Chordata; Mammalia; Primates; Hominidae. The record is from RNAcentral.